AGCGGGAAGAGCUCAAAUUUUGAAUCUGGCGGUCUUUGGCCGUCCGAGUUGUAAUCUAGAGAAGCGUCUUCCGCGCUGGACCGUGUACAAGUCUCCUGGAAGGGAGCGUCAUAGAGGGUGAGAAUCCCGUCUUUGACACGGACUGCCAGUGCUAUGUGAUGCGCUCUCGACGAGUCGAGUUGUUUGGGAAUGCAGCUCUAAUUGGGUGGUAAAUUCCAUCUAAAGCUAAAUACAGGCGAGAGACCGAUAGCGAACAAGUACCGUGAGGGAAAGAUGAAAAGAACUUUGGAAAGAGAGUUAAACAGUACGUGAAAUUGCUGAAAGGGAAACGCUUGAUGUCAGUCGCGUUGGCUGGGGAUCAACCUUGCUUUUCGCUGGGUGUAUUUCCUGGUCGACGGGUCAGCAUCAGUUUCGGUCGUCGUACAAGGAUCGAGGGAACGUGGCACUCUUCGGAGUGUGUUAUAGCCCUUGGUCGAAUGCGAUGGUCGGGACUGAGGAACUCAGCACGGCUCUGCUUGUGCUUAGGAUGCUGGCAUAAUGGCCUUAAGCGACCCGUCUUGAAACACGGACCAAGGAGUCUAACAUGCCUGCGAGUGUUUGGGUGGCAAACUCGAGCGCGAAAUGAAAGUGAAAGUUGAGACCUCUGUCGUGGAGGGCAUCGACGCCCGGACCUGAGUCUUUGACGACGGAUCUGCGGUAGAGCAUGCAUGUUGGGACCCGAAAG
RNAcentral lists this ribosomal RNA (724 nucleotides) under Chalciporus sp. RNAcentral describes it as "partial large subunit ribosomal RNA". It matches the Rfam family "Eukaryotic large subunit ribosomal RNA", at positions 97 to 822 of the family's 3401-position model. The record is from RNAcentral. Lineage: Eukaryota; Fungi; Basidiomycota; Agaricomycetes; Boletales; Boletaceae.